UCGUAUCUUUUCAACUUUAAUAUAAUUCCAAGUAUAAUUUAACCGUCAACAUUACAAAGCUGAAUGCAUUAAAGACUUCACAAUGAUCGAGUUUUACAUCAGGCCAAACCAGCUGUCAGGCAGUUUACAGUGAGGCCAUCAUCAACUUAGAAUUAUCAGUUUUUCAAUAAAUCCUAUUCUAUUAAUUAAACCACAAAAUAUCUAAUUUAUUAAUUACAGUCAGUGGUAUAUAUGUCAAUAUAUUGGAUAUAUAUACUAUAAAAUCAUGUUGAUUUAUAUAAACUUUAUAGCUUUUCUUCUCGGAUUAGACAACGUUGAUUUUUAAAAUUACUUCGCCAAAGAACUCAUAAGAUGGGUCGUUUUUUUAAGCCAUUUAAAACAUUCGCGUCUGUGCUUUAUCAGAUAUAAGACAUUCGAGUUUUAUAUCCGAUAAGGUACUUCUGCUUGUGUUUUAAAUGGUAAACUAUAUAGAUUGUAAUGCAAAAUGACUGAAAAACGGCAAACUUCGCAAGGCUAUAUUAUCCGCAUUUUACAACAUUUCGCAACGAAACUUCGGAAUAUUACUAAUUUUGUGAUGCUCUUUCAAGCUGUGAUGAAAUUGUUGCCCAGACUUGUCUAGAUCAAAAUUUCACUCAUAAGUGAUAAGGGGAAAUGUCUAUUGGGAAGAUCACAUACAUAAAGUUUGAUUGAUUGAUUGAAAAAGCACCGUUUCGAAACCUCGCUUCAUGAGUACGAAGUGCUGUGACGAUAGCUUUGAAAUUGACACGAGCUUUAACAAACCUCAAUUUCUAGGGCCAGCGGUACGAAGGCUGAAUAGCGCAAUGCAUUGGUCAGUGAUUUUUUCAAAGACGAGAGAGAUUAAAAUAGCUCUGUCGAAGUAUUUCACUGCUUAAACGUCCUACAAAUAGUAAACAGAAAACACCCGUACCCGUUUUGCCUGUUACGCGUCUAGACUACAUGGUUUACUGCGGGGAAACGGGUAGAAAUUACGGGAAAACAUGCAUGCUGACAUCAGCUACAUUUCGUAAACAAAAUGGCGAUGAGCUAAUGAGAGUUUUAUAUAUUUAUUGUGAGGUCAAUAACUGUAAUUUUACAGCUUUUUAUGCAUUUUUACAAAGGUUGGAAAAAUUCCCAUUCCCAUUGAGAGCGCUAUUCGGCCUUCGUCAAAACUAGAUCUUCGAUAUAUCAAAAUCACGAUUUUAUCUAAACGUCAUCAAAGACGUCUUGGAACAUAACUCGGUGUUGUUUCCCCUUCAAACAUUCCUGGACCAAAUUUUGUAUAUCUGUCUUCAUGUCCAGUGGCUUGAGAUUUGGUGUGUAUCUCUUUCUAGGCUGCCCUGUGUGGUCGAUCAGGAAUUUCUCGAAAUUCCAUUUGAUGUCCGUCGUUCGAAUUGGCGAGUAGAAUCGUUUGCUCGGAUCACCAAUGAGUGUCGUGGGGUUUGGACACUGUGACU
Paramuricea clavata is the source of this 1454-nucleotide non-coding RNA. NCBI's taxonomy places the organism in Eukaryota, Metazoa, Cnidaria, Anthozoa, Malacalcyonacea, Plexauridae. The record is from the annotation of a GenBank genome assembly.